RNAcentral lists this long non-coding RNA (486 nucleotides) under Fukomys damarensis (Damara mole-rat). Its description in RNAcentral is "lncRNA (ENSFDAG00000033398.1)". The record is from RNAcentral. Lineage: Eukaryota; Metazoa; Chordata; Mammalia; Rodentia; Bathyergidae.
GGUGAGUUACGUCAUUCCAUAAAAAGACAAAUAAAGUGCAUUUUGUCUUAAAUCCUCACCAUAAAAUUCGAAGAGGGAAUUACAAAAUUGGGACAAUAAAGCAGACGGUCAGCUGGCUGAGGAGGAAUUACAGAGUGUCAUUUCUUAAGAGACCUGGGUUUUCUGUCACAGCUCAGUGAUGUCCUCUGCCACAUGACUUAGGGAGAACCCGGGACUGGAGGCUUUUCCUGUCACCUGGAAAACAUCUUCUCUUUGGAAGGAAGCACAGACUCUUACAUCAACCAGUGGAAUCUUGUGUGGCAAAAAUUGACGGAGUGAGGAGGCGGCUGUCUGUAGUCCAGCGAAAGAGCCCGCAGCGCCUCAACCAACCUUGCCCUUGGUAUUUUACUCAGGCGGCCACAUCCUGGGCUGAGGCAGGAUCCCCUCCAACAGCGCUGCUCUUUGCAUCUCAGCACCCGGGGCAAAUAAAAAGCCUGUCUUCCCAUU